GCAGGCGGCCGGAUGAUCGCUGCCUCCCCCCGGGUAACCGGCGGGAGGGGGAGGAAAGUCCGAACUCCGCAGGGCAGUGUGCCGGAUAACGUCCGGGACGGCCGCUUCAAGGCGGCUGGACGGCCAGUGCAACAGAAAGGAUACCGCCCCCGCGGCGCAAGCUGCGGAGGUAAGGGUGAAAGGGUGCGGUAAGAGCGCACCGCGCGGCCAGUAAUGGACGCGGCACGGUAAACCCCACACGGAGCAAGACCAAAUAGGCAGGAAACGGUUCGCUACUACCCAGGCGGCCGAGCGUGCCGGCCCGGUGCGCCAAGGCGGGUGGAGCCGCGCGAGCGGCAGCCGGAACUUGCGGGUAGGUUGCUGGAGCCUGUCAGUAAUGGCAGGCCUAGAGGAAUGAUCAUCUAAAACAGAAUUCGGCUUACGGGCCGCCUGCACUU
Molecule: RNase P RNA, 437 nt
Filed under: Acidobacteriota bacterium
Lineage: Bacteria; Pseudomonadati; Acidobacteriota
Description: RNase P RNA component class A
Rfam family: Bacterial RNase P class A
About the family: Ribonuclease P (RNase P) is a ubiquitous endoribonuclease, found in archaea, bacteria and eukarya as well as chloroplasts and mitochondria. Its best characterised activity is the generation of mature 5'-ends of tRNAs by cleaving the 5'-leader elements of precursor-tRNAs.
Source: RNAcentral